AGUUUGACUGGGGCGGUCUCCUCCUAAAGAGUAACGGAGGAGCACGAAGGUUGGCUAAUCCUGGUCGGACAUCAGGAGGUUAGUGCAAUGGCAUAAGCCAGCUUGACUGCGAGCGUGACGGCGCGAGCAGGUGCGAAAGCAGGUCAUAGUGAUCCGGUGGUUCUGAAUGGAAGGGCCAUCGCUCAACGGAUAAAAGGUACUCCGGGGAUAACAGGCUGAUACCGCCCAAGAGUUCAUAUCGACGGCGGUGUUUGGCACCUCGAUGUCGGCUCAUCACAUCCUGGGGCUGAAGUAGGUCCCAAGGGUAUGGCUGUUCGCCAUUUAAAGUGGUACGCGAGCUGGGUUUAGAACGUCGUGAGACAGUUCGGUCCCUAUCUGCCGUGGGCGCUGGAGAACUGAGGGGGGCUGCUCCUAGUACGAGAGGACCGGAGUGGACGCAUCACUGGUGUUCGGGUUGUCAUGCCAAUGGCACUGCCCGGUAGCUAAAUGCGGAAGAGAUAAGUGCUGAAAGCAUCUAAGCACGAAACUUGCCCCGAGAUGAGUUCUCCCUGACUCCUUGAGAGUCCUGAAGGAACGUUGAAGACGACGACGUUGAUAGGCCGGGUGUGUAAGCGCAGCGAUGCGUUGAGCUAACCGGUACUAAUGAACCGUGAGGCUUAACCUUACAACGCCGAAG
RNAcentral lists this ribosomal RNA (676 nucleotides) under Escherichia coli. Its description in RNAcentral is "partial 23S ribosomal RNA". It matches the Rfam family "Bacterial large subunit ribosomal RNA", at positions 2267 to 2925 of the family's 2925-position model. Lineage: Bacteria; Pseudomonadati; Pseudomonadota; Gammaproteobacteria; Enterobacterales; Enterobacteriaceae. The record is from RNAcentral.